Small nucleolar RNA from Sorex araneus (European shrew), 130 nucleotides. NCBI's taxonomy places the organism in Eukaryota, Metazoa, Chordata, Mammalia, Eulipotyphla, Soricidae. The record is from Ensembl.
GUGCAAGCCUCCAGCGUGCUUGGGAUUGGAGUGACUCUGCAUUACUACAGUGCUUACAAGAAUAAGAUAAAAUGGUUUGAGGCCUUGCACUGCUCCAUCCAGAGCAAGGUUAUAGAAAUUCCAGGCAAUU